RNAcentral lists this ribosomal RNA (495 nucleotides) under uncultured bacterium. RNAcentral describes it as "bacterial SSU rRNA". It matches the Rfam family "Bacterial small subunit ribosomal RNA", at positions 15 to 507 of the family's 1533-position model. The record is from RNAcentral.
GAUCAUGGCUCAGGAUGAACGCUGGCGGCGUGCUUAACACAUGCAAGUCGAACGAAGCAAUUUAUCUAGAUCCCUUCGGGGGUGACGGAUUUAUUGACUGAGUGGCGGACGGGUGAGUAACGCGUGGGUAACCUGCCUUAUACAGGGGGAUAACAGUUAGAAAUGACUGCUAAUACCGCAUAACCCGCUAGUGUCGCAUGACACAGACGGAAAAGAUUUAUCGGUAUAAGAUGGACCCGCGUCUGAUUAGCUGGUUGGUGAGGUAACGGCUCACCAAGGCGACGAUCAGUAGCCGGCUUGAGAGAGUGAACGGCCACAUUGGGACUGAGACACGGCCCAAACUCCUACGGGAGGCAGCAGUGGGGAAUAUUGCACAAUGGGGGAAACCCUGAUGCAGCGACGCCGCGUGAGUGAAGAAGUAUUUCGGUAUGUAAAGCUCUAUCAGCAGGGAGGAAAAUGACGGUACCUGACUAAGAAGCCCCGGCUAACUACGUG